RNAcentral lists this ribosomal RNA (995 nucleotides) under bacterium. RNAcentral's name for it is "bacterial SSU rRNA". It matches the Rfam family "Bacterial small subunit ribosomal RNA", at positions 37 to 1043 of the family's 1533-position model. The record is from RNAcentral.
CGGCAGUGCGGCUGCUUCACAUGCAGUCGACGAUGAUCCGGUGCUUGCACCGGGGAUUAGUGGCGAACGGGUGAGUAACACGUGAGUAACCUGCCCUUGACUCUGGGAUAAGCCUGGGAAACCGGGUCUAAUACCGGAUAUGACCUGUCACCGCAUGGUGGUGGGUGGAAAGAUUUUUUGGUCUUGGAUGGACUCGCGGCCUAUCAGCUUGUUGGUGGGGUAAUGGCCUACCAAGGCGACGACGGGUAGCCGGCCUGAGAGGGUGACCGGCCACACUGGGACUGAGACACGGCCCAGACUCCUACGGGAGGCAGCAGUGGGGAAUAUUGCACAAUGGGCGCAAGCCUGAUGCAGCGACGCCGCGUGAGGGAUGAAUGCCUUCGGGUUGUAAACCUCUUUCAGCAGGGAAGAAGCGAAAGUGACGGUACCUGCAGAAGAAGCGCCGGCUAACUACGUGCCAGCAGCCGCGGUAAUACGUAGGGCGCAAGCGUUGUCCGGAAUUAUUGGGCGUAAAGAGCUCGUAGGCGGUUUGUCGCGUCUGCUGUGAAAGCCCGGGGCUCAACCCCGGGUCUGCAGUGGGUACGGGCAGACUAGAGUGCAGUAGGGGAGACUGGAAUUCCUGGUGUAGCGGUGAAAUGCGCAGAUAUCAGGAGGAACACCGAUGGCGAAGGCAGGUCUCUGGGCUGUAACUGACGCUGAGGAGCGAAAGCAUGGGGAGCGAACAGGAUUAGAUACCCUGGUAGUCCAUGCCGUAAACGUUGGGCACUAGGUGUGGGGGACAUUCCACGUUUUCCGCGCCGUAGCUAACGCAUUAAGUGCCCCGCCUGGGGGAGUACGGCCGCAAGGCUAAAACUCAAAGGAAUUGACGGGGGCCCGCACAAGCGGCGGAGCAUGCGGAUUAAUUCGAUGCAACGCGAAGAACCUUACCAAGGCUUGACAUGGGCCGGACCGGGCUGGAAACAGUCCUUCCCUUCGGGGCCGGUUCACAGGUGGGG